Molecule: ribosomal RNA, 251 nt
Filed under: uncultured prokaryote
Description: partial 16S ribosomal RNA
Rfam family: Bacterial small subunit ribosomal RNA
Source: RNAcentral
UACGGAGGAUGCGAGCGUUAUCCGGAUUUAUUGGGUUUAAAGGGUGCGCAGGCUGGUAAUUAAGUCAGUGGUGAAAUACUCCGGCUCAACCGGGGGGCUGCCGUUGAUACUGGUUACCUUGAGUUUAGAUGAUGUGGGCGGAAUGUGUCAUGUAGCGGUGAAAUGCAUAGAGAUGACACAGAACACCGAUAGCGAAGGCAGCUCACAAAGCUAUUACUGACGCUGAUGCACGAAAGCGUGGGGAUCAAACA